Molecule: ribosomal RNA, 492 nt
Filed under: uncultured bacterium
Lineage: Bacteria
Description: partial 16S ribosomal RNA
Rfam family: Bacterial small subunit ribosomal RNA
Source: RNAcentral
AGUGAACGCUGGCGGUAGGCCUAACACAUGCAAGUCGAACGGCAGCACAGUAAGAGCUUGCUCUUACGGGUGGCGAGUGGCGGACGGGUGAGGAAUACAUCGGAAUCUACUUUUUCGUGGGGGAUAACGUAGGGAAACUUACGCUAAUACCGCAUACGACCUGCGGGUGAAAGCAGGGGAUCUUCGGACCUUGCGCGAUUGAAUGAGCCGAUGUCGGAUUAGCUAGUUGGCGGGGUAAAGGCCCACCAAGGCGACGAUCCGUAGCUGGUCUGAGAGGAUGAUCAGCCACACUGGAACUGAGACACGGUCCAGACUCCUACGGGAGGCAGCAGUGGGGAAUGUUGGACAAUGGGCGCAAGCCUGAUCCAGCCAUACCGAGUGGGUGAAGAAGGCCUUCGGGUUGUAAAGCCCUUUUGUUGGGAAAGAAAAGCAGCAGGUUAAUACCCCGCUGUUCUGACGGUACCCAAAGAAUAAGCACCGGCUAACUUCGUG